GUUACAGCAGCCGCGGUAAUACGAAGGGGGCUAGCGUUGCUCGGAAUCACGGGGCGUAAAGCGCACGUAGGCGGCUUCUCAAGUCAGGGGUGAAAUCCUGGAGCUCAACUCCAGAACUGCCUUUGAUACUGAGGGGCUCGAGUCCGGGAGAGGUGAGUGGAACUGCGAGUGUAGAGGUGAAAUUCGUAGAUAUUCGCAAGGACACCAGUGGCGAAGGCGGCUCACUGGCCCGGUACUGACGCUGAGGUGCGAAAGCGUGGGGAGCAAACAGGAUUAGAAACCCGUGUAGUCC
Molecule: ribosomal RNA, 292 nt
Filed under: uncultured bacterium
Lineage: Bacteria
Description: partial 16S ribosomal RNA
Rfam family: Bacterial small subunit ribosomal RNA
Source: RNAcentral